GGGCUGCUGACUCAUGUUCUGGCUUGAAAGGAACUCAAAAAGCAGCAUGCUAUGUAGAGCAAGGAAAAACAUCGAUGGGUAAAGGAAAACUCAAGUUCUUCUAGCACAUUGAUAAUUUUCUAGCUGAAAGAGCGUUUUGCUGAAUGACUGCUCCUUUCAUUAUGAGGGGCAUAUUCAUGUAACUCAGUCUAACUAUUCCUCACAUGUUAUUUCAGACUUGUGUGCAAUAGUUUGUUUAUAUAUAUCGAAUUCCACAAAUUUUGAUCCAGGAAACUGUUUGACACGGGGGAAAAUUCUCUGUUGCUAAGGAAUCGAUGCGACUGUUUGAGUUGCAUUUUCUUGUGGUAUACAAAUGUAAAUCUGGAAACGUAGCAGUAUAUUGUGCAAAUAUGUAUGGCCCUUC
This 403-nucleotide unclassified non-coding RNA is filed under the name Hevea brasiliensis (rubber tree). Lineage: Eukaryota; Viridiplantae; Streptophyta; Magnoliopsida; Malpighiales; Euphorbiaceae. The record is from RNAcentral.